CAGCAGGUCUGUAGCAAUACAGAUGCUGGCGACCGGCAAACGGGUGCGGAACACGUACACAACCUUCCUUUAAGUGGGGAAUAGCCCGGGGAAACCCGGAUUAAUACCCCGUAACAUAUAGAAGUGGCCUCGCUUUUAUAUUAUAGCAGCAAUGCGCUUGAAGAUGGGUGUGCGGCUGAUUAGAUAGUUGGCGGGGUAACGGCCCACCAAGUCGACGAUCAGUAACUGGUGUGAGAGCACGACCAGUCACACGGGCACUGAGACACGGGCCCGACUCCUACGGGAGGCAGCAGUAAGGAAUAUUGGUCAAUGGACGCAAGUCUGAACCAGCCAUGCCGCGUGAAGGAUGAAGGUCCUCUGGAUUGUAAACUUCUUUUAUUUGGGAAGAAAUCUAUCUUUUCUUGGAUAGUUGACGGUACCAGAUGAAUAAGCACCGGCUAACUCCGUGCCAGCAGCCGCGGUAAUACGGAGGGUGCAAGCGUUAUCCGGAUUCACUGGGUUUAAAGGGUGCGUAGGUGGGCAGGUAAGUCAGUGGUGAAAUCUCCGGGCUUAACCCGGAAACUGCCAUUGAUACUAUCUGUCUUGAAUACCCUGGAGGUGAGCGGAAUAUGUCAUGUAGCGGUGAAAUGCUUAGAUAUGACAUAGAACACCCAUUGCGAAGGCAGCUCACUACGGGAUUAUUGACACUGAGGCACGAAAGCGUGGGGAUCAAACAGGAUUAGAUACCCUGGUAGUCCACGCCCUAAACUAUGGAUACUCGACAUCAGCGAUAAACUGUUGGUGUCUGAGCGAAAGCAUUAAGUAU
RNAcentral lists this ribosomal RNA (805 nucleotides) under uncultured Sphingobacteriia bacterium. RNAcentral's name for it is "bacterial SSU rRNA". It matches the Rfam family "Bacterial small subunit ribosomal RNA", at positions 70 to 867 of the family's 1533-position model. The record is from RNAcentral. Lineage: Bacteria; Pseudomonadati; Bacteroidota; Sphingobacteriia.